UACAAAUUCAGAAGGAACUCCAAGGCAAACCUCAACAAAAGGAUACUGAGGAAUUUUUCACUUUUUUAAUCUUUGUUUUUUGGCAUUGUUCUCUGAACCUUGAAGAGGAUGUUUUGAUGUUACCAAAGAUAUGGCGGUUUUUGAUAUUAAUAGCAUCCUGAAAAAGUUAAGGUAGAAAUUGCUUUCAACAGAAAUUGACGCAUUGCUAUAUCCAAUAUCUGAAAACAUAGAAACAGCUUUGGAAUAAAUUCACAGGCACAGAAUUCAGAAAUUUUAUGAUGCAUGAUGGAGGAGUCAAGAUUGCUAGGAAAUGAUUUUUUAAAGGAAAUUCUAGGGAUAGCUCAGAAGUUCAGGAGGAAAGGGAAAGGGACACUUCUCUUAGAGGAGACAGAUCAUUAUAGAUAGAACACUGAUAGCUAGAUGGAUAAUAAAAGCUAUUGUAAUGAAUUCUAUGGUAGAAAUGUAGAAAAGGUGAUCUUGGUUAUAUGUUAACAAAGACUACUAUGUUUUUUUGUUCAUGCCUAAUGUUUUAUAAUGGUGUAAUUUUAUAAAGAUUAAGUUGAAUAUUUCCAAUUAUUUGAAAUAUCUAAGUAAAAUGAUAAAAGGGUGGCUUGCAACCAUCUGAUUGAGAACAGGAUGUUAUAAAAGUAAAAGAAUGGAACAAUGGUUAAUUCAGAAACUAUGUUUAACCUCUGCCAAGAUUUGUUAUGAAUAUGAAAAGCAUAAAAUUUAACCAAUCUAUCCUCAUCUAAAAUAUGGAAUUACUAAGCAAAGGGUAACUAAAAUGUAGUGAUUUAGAAAAUCUUCAGUUCAAUUAUAUUGGAAAAAAACCCAAGGAAACAGAAAGUACUACUAAAAUAUAACUACAGUAAGUUCAUGGCCAUGGGAUGGUUUGGUACUCAGAUGACAAGGAUUACAUACUCAGGUACCCCAGUGAAGUCCUAUAACUUCUAACUGAAAGAGAUAGACAAAAUAAGGUAUAAGAAGGGGGUAUUUAUAUUAUUUAUUCUACAGGUGAACUGUAGAGAAAUUCACCUGUCAGUCCGCUUCAUUUUUUUUUAAGAUAAGGGAAGAUGGACUCGAAUAUCAAUUUAUAAAUUUUCAGGGCUGCUAUUUGGUACAGGCACCAAAUUUCUUUUCUUAGGCUAGAUGAUGCCUUUAGAUUUAGGGCUUGGGUUUUGGGCACGGGAGAAGAUUCAGGACUGCUACCUUGAUGGCUCCGGUGGAUAGAACACAACCACGACGAUCUGGACAGCAGAAAAUUGAACUAAGCUCUCUGAAGACAGGAAAUGAACAGUGAAUAUAUUUUAUUCAAAGCCUGCAUGAACCCAUCAAAGGAUAGCAACAAAAAGAGAUCAUUUUACACUUUCUUACUAAGGACACGGUUUGGCGAGGACAACUUCUAAGAAAGCCUCUAUGUAACUCAUGAAAACAACACAUAGUGAGUAUAGAAGAAGAAAAAUGGUAAAUUAAGACUUGUAAGUGCAGAUACGAGGGUCCUGGACUCUACUUGACCUUCAUGCUUCAGCGUUUUCAUCUACUGAAAUGGAAUAUUAGUCCCUGCUUGCUCUAUCUGUGUCUCCUUUGGGAGCAUAGGAACUAUGACUGAUGCCAUGGUUGGGAUAGCAGGAAACCUGGGAAGGCUCUUAUGACUGAAUUUCUACGAGGAAAUAGAAAAUCUAUAAAUAAUUCUCUGAGUCAUUUUUAAUCUCCUAGGUGUGCUAAUAAGUUAUUGUGCACAGGAAAAUGUUUAAUUCUAAUGAGAUUAUGUUUGUAUGCUAUCUACGACUUCAACUAUGUGGCUUAUAUGUAUUCUUGAAAGUAAAGCAGAGAUGUAGAAAUGAGCAAGUACAUACUGACUGUAGAAUUCUAUUAGCAUCCCUGCAUGCUUAAAGUUCUUAAUAAAAAUUUAAUGCUACAUUUAUUAUCUUCUAGUUCAGUCUGAGCUUACAAUGUUUACAUAAGCUUGUAUUUCAAUUGUCUGUUCUCUAUUCUGAUUCUGUUGGCAUACUUAGAUCCCAUUGAGAUUAAGACUUAGCAGUCUUUAAUAGUUUAAGAUUUACUCAUGAACAAUGAUAUUUUUCUGUUUUUAGCUUAUGCAUCUUUAAAGAUUUAUUAUUAAAGUGUUUUCAGAGGUUAAUUACAGAGUUGGGCCUAUAAAACUCAAUUAUUAUGUUAAAGAUUCAGUAGUAUUAUAUGACUCAUGUGAACAGCUUCAAGAGUUUCUGUCCCUGUAAAAUGCUUUGGUUUUUUGGUUUUGUUUGUUUGUUUGUUUUUUAAAUUCAUCUGGAGUUUAUUUUCUUUCUUUGCUGGACUCUAAGACAUUAUUGGUGCAGUGUAAUUAUUCUUUUAUUUCUCUUAAUGAUAUUAGUUUCUGUAGGCAAGGGGCUCUAGUCAUAAUCUUGAAUGGAAAAAGUGUGUAUGUAGUUAACAUUGGUUUCAAGUAGUUAUGCCUCUACUUUUUCCUUAGACAGAAGCCUCGCCCUGCUCUAUUCUUAUUAUAAAAUAUCACAAACACUUGGACCAAGAGGAGAAGGAAAUCUGAAUUAGGCUAUGCAUGUUCAAUUAAAAGUUUAACUUUUACUGAAUAGAAUCAGAGUGAAUAGAAUUGAAACAAUGGAGAAGUGGUAUUUUGAAGAGAAAAAAUAUUUGUAUGUGUCUCCAAUUCUCGUCACCAUGGAACAAUGGAAAGAUCUGUUUGUAAUAAACGAAGAAAGAACCCGAGAAAAUGACAAAGCAAACUCCUUGCCAAAUAAUUCCUUUAAAAAAAAUCCUUGUUUCCGGAGUCAUUUGAGAGACACUUCAACCUCUUGCUUGUACGUCUAUAUAGCUCACUCUAAAAUCACGUCUUAUUUGCCGCAGUUGCUAUCCCAUUCAUUUGUAAUUGGUUUCAAAGCUCUGAGCAGAGCUUCCUUUUGUGCAGCUGUAGUUCCUCUUCUCCCCGGCUACUCUUCAUUCCUGGCAGUCCUAACAAUUGUUGCUCCUUCCUACUUCUGUAUGAAUUCUGUUAUAAGCUUGAUAAAUUCAUAAUAAAUCAUUUU
RNAcentral lists this small RNA (3041 nucleotides) under Rattus norvegicus (Norway rat). RNAcentral describes it as "uncharacterized LOC108348408". Lineage: Eukaryota; Metazoa; Chordata; Mammalia; Rodentia; Muridae. The record is from RNAcentral.